RNAcentral lists this ribosomal RNA (440 nucleotides) under uncultured bacterium. Its description in RNAcentral is "partial 16S ribosomal RNA". It matches the Rfam family "Bacterial small subunit ribosomal RNA", at positions 338 to 795 of the family's 1533-position model. The record is from RNAcentral.
CCUACGGGAGGCAGCAGUAGGGAAUAUUGCUCAAUGGGGGAAACCCUGAAGCAGCAACGCCGCGUGGAGGAUGAAGGUUUUCGGAUUGUAAACUCCUUUUGUUAGAGAAGAUAAUGACGGUAUCUAACGAAUAAGCACCGGGUAACUCCGUGCCAGCAGCCGCGGUAAUACGGAGGGUGCAACCGUUACUCGGAAUCACUGGGCGUAAAGCGCGCGUAGGCGGGGUAGCAAGUCAGAUGUGAAAUCCUAUGGCUUAACCAUAGAACUGAAUUUGAAACUGUUAUUCUAGAGUAUGGGAGAGGUAGGUGGAAUGCUUGGGGUAGGGGUAAAAUCCGUAGAGAGCAAGAGGAAUACUCAUUGCGAAGGCGACCUGAUAGAACAUAACUGACGCUGAUGCGCGAAAGCGUGGGGAGCAAACAGGAUUAGAUACCCGUGUAGUC